RNAcentral lists this ribosomal RNA (352 nucleotides) under uncultured Coriobacteriales bacterium. RNAcentral's name for it is "partial 16S ribosomal RNA". The record is from RNAcentral. Lineage: Bacteria; Bacillati; Actinomycetota; Coriobacteriia; Coriobacteriales.
GGAGUUUGGACCGUCUCUCAGUUCCAAUGUGGCCGAUCACCCUCUCAGGUCGGCUACCGAUCGUCGACUUGGUGGGCCGUUACCUCACCAACUAUCUAAUCGGACGCGAACUCACCCCAAACCCGGUUGCCCGUUUUACCCCUGGACCAUGCGACCCUGUGGUCUUAUGCGGUAUUAGCACCUGUUUCCAAGUGUUAUCCCCUGUCUGGGACAGAUUGUUCACGCGUUACUCACCCGUCCGCCACUGGAAUUACAGACCUUCCGGCCGAAGCCUUCCGUUCCGUAAUCCCCGUUCGACUUGCAUGUGUUAAGCACGCCGCCAGCGUUCGUCCUCGAGCCAUGAUCAAACUCU